UGGGGAAUUUUGGACAAUGGGCGAAAGCCUGAUCCAGCAAUGCCGCGUGUGUGAAGAAGGCCUUCGGGUUGUAAAGCACUUUUGUCCGGAAAGAAAUCCUUGGCUCUAAUGCAGUCGGGGGAUGACGGUACCGGAAGAAUAAGCACCGGCUAACUACGUGCCAGCAGCCGCGGUAAUACGUAGGGUCAAGCGUUAAUCGGAAUUACUGGGCGUAAAGCGUGCGCAGGCGGUUUGCUAAGACCGAUGUGAAAUCCCCGGGCUCAACCUGGGAACUGCAUUGGUGACUGGCAGGCUAGAGUAUGGCAGAGGGGGGUAGAAUUCCACGUGUAGCAGUGAAAUGCGUAGAGAUGUGGAGGAAUACCGAUGGCGAAGGCAGCCCCCUGGGCCAAUACUGACGCUCAUGCACGAAAGCGUGGGGAGCAAACAGGAUUAGAUACCCUGGUAGUCCACGCCCUAAACGAUGUCAACUAGUUGUUGGGGAUUCAUUUCCUUAGUAACGUAGCUAACGCGUGAAGUUGACCGCCUGGGGAGUACGGUCGCAAGAUUAAAACUUAAAGGAAUUGACGGGGUCAUAGCUGUUUCCU
This 584-nucleotide ribosomal RNA is filed under the name uncultured bacterium. RNAcentral's name for it is "partial 16S ribosomal RNA". It matches the Rfam family "Bacterial small subunit ribosomal RNA", at positions 355 to 1375 of the family's 1533-position model. The record is from RNAcentral.